Molecule: ribosomal RNA, 253 nt
Filed under: uncultured bacterium
Lineage: Bacteria
Description: partial 16S ribosomal RNA
Rfam family: Bacterial small subunit ribosomal RNA
Source: RNAcentral
AACGUAGGAAGCGAGCGUUAUCCGGAUUUACUGGGCGUAAAGCGCGUGUAGGCGGUUUCGAAAGUUGGAUGUUAAAGCUCCUGGCUUAACUGGGAGAGGUCGUUCAAUACUACGAGACUAGAGGAUGGGAGAGGGAAGCGGAAUUCCGGGUGUAGUGGUGAAAUGCGUAGAUAUCCGGAGGAACACCAGUGGCGAAAGCGGCUUCCUGGCCCAUAACUGACGCUCAGACGCGAAAGCUAGGGGAGCGAACGGG